GACGAACGCUGGCGGCGUGCUUAACACAUGCAAGUCGAACGGAAAGGCCCUGCUUUUGUGGGGUGCUCGAGUGGCGAACGGGUGAGUAACACGUGAGUAACCUGCCCUUGACUUUGGGAUAACUUCAGGAAACUGGGGCUAAUACCGGAUAGGAGCUCCUGCUGCAUGGUGGGGUUGGAAAGUUUCGGCGGUUGGGGAUGGACUCGCGGCUUAUAAGCUUGUUGGUGGGGUAGUGGCUUACCAAGGCUUUGACGGGUAGCCGGCCUGGGAGGGUGACCGGCCACAUUGGGACUGAGAUACGGCCCAGACCCCUACGGGAGGCAGCAGUGGGGAAUAUUGCACUAUGGGCGGAAGCCUGAUGCAGCAACGCCGCGUGCGGGAUGACGGCCUUCGGGUUGUAAACCGCUUUCGCCUGUGACGAAGCGUGAGUGACGGUAAUGGGUAAAGAAGCACCGGCUAACUACGUG
This 467-nucleotide ribosomal RNA is filed under the name uncultured bacterium. Its description in RNAcentral is "partial 16S ribosomal RNA". It matches the Rfam family "Bacterial small subunit ribosomal RNA", at positions 28 to 507 of the family's 1533-position model. The record is from RNAcentral.